CCUACGGGGGGCAGCAGUGAGGAAUAUUGGUCAAUGGACGAGAGUCUGAACCAGCCAAGUAGCGUGAAGGAUGACUGCCCUAUGGGUUGUAAACUUCUUUUAUAUGGGAAUAAAAUGUUCCACGUGUGGGAUUUUGUAUGUACCAUAUGAAUAAGGAUCGGCUAACUCCGUGCCAGCAGCCGCGGUAAUACGGCGGAUCCGAGCGUUAUCCGGAUUUAUUGGGUGUAAAGGGAGCGUAGGUGGAUGGUUAAGUCAGUUGUGAAAGUUUGCGGCUCAACCGUAAAAUUGCAGUUGAAACUGGCAGUCUUGAGUAAAGGAGAGGUAGGCGGAAUUCGUGGUGUAGCGGUGAAAUGCUUAGAUAUCACGAAGAACUCCGAUUGCGAAGGCAGUUCACUGGACUGCAACUGACACUGAGGCUCGAAAGUGUGGGUAUCAAACAGGAUUAGAUACCCCAGUAGUC
RNAcentral lists this ribosomal RNA (460 nucleotides) under uncultured bacterium. Its description in RNAcentral is "partial 16S ribosomal RNA". It matches the Rfam family "Bacterial small subunit ribosomal RNA", at positions 338 to 795 of the family's 1533-position model. The record is from RNAcentral.